UGAGGAAUAUUGCGCAAUGGGGGAAACCCUGACGCAGCGACGCCGCGUGGGUGAUGAAGGCCUUCGGGUUGUAAAGCCCUGUUGGAGGGGAAGAAAGGGCGUGUAGCUAAUAUCUGCACGCAUUGACGGUACCCUCAGAGGAAGCACCGGCUAACUCCGUGCCAGCAGCCGCGGUAAUACGGAGGGUGCGAGUGUUAUUCGGAUUUACUGGGCGUAAAGAGCACGUAGGCGGAUAGGCAAGUCAGAUGUGAAAGCCCGGAGCUUAACUCCGGAACUGCAUUUGAUACUGCUUGUCUUGAGUAUGGUAGAGGUGGGUGGAAUUCCCGGUGUAGAGGUGAAAUUCGUAGAUAUCGGGAGGAAUACCUGAGGCGAAGGCGACCCACUGGGCCAUUACUGACGCUGAGGUUCGAAAGCGUGGGUAGCAAACA
This 428-nucleotide ribosomal RNA is filed under the name uncultured prokaryote. RNAcentral's name for it is "bacterial SSU rRNA". It matches the Rfam family "Bacterial small subunit ribosomal RNA", at positions 355 to 774 of the family's 1533-position model. The record is from RNAcentral.